UUCUGUUGGUAUUCCUGUCAU
RNAcentral lists this non-coding RNA (21 nucleotides) under Caenorhabditis elegans. The record is from RNAcentral. Lineage: Eukaryota; Metazoa; Nematoda; Chromadorea; Rhabditida; Rhabditidae.